ACACUCCUAACAGCUAGCCUACCCACCCAAAUACAACAAUCAACAUUAAUUACCCAAAACUCCCCAAAAAGCAUCAAAUCAAACCAUUUUGCCUCCCUAGUAUGGGUGACAGAAAAGGAACUUAGUGCAAUAGAAAAAGUACCGCAAGGGAAUGCUGAAAGAGAAAUGAAAAAACCCAGUAAAGAAUAAAAAAGCAGAAAUAAUCCCUCGUACCUUUUGCAUCAUGAUUUAGCCAGACCCUCUCGAGCAAAGUGUGCUUUAGUUCGAGCCCCCGAAACUGAGCGAGCUACUCCAAGACAGCCUAACCAGGGCAAACCCGUCUCUGUAGCAAAAGAGUGGGAAGAUCUUUGAGUAGAGGUGACAGACCUACCGAGCUCAGUUAUAGCUGGUUGCCCACAAAAUGAAUAGAAGUUCAGCCUUUAACCUUCUUACCUCCCCCACUGUUUUUACCCCAAGUGACACAAAGAAGGCUAAAGAGUUAUUCAAAGGGGGAACAGCCCCCUUGAAAAAAGACACAACUUUACUUGCAGGCUAAAGAUCAGAGACUUUAAGGUAACAUACCUUAGUGGGCCUAAAAGCAGCCAUCCAAAAAGAAAGCGUUAAAGCUCAAGUACCCCUUUACUAAUAAUUUCGACAACACCAUCUUAAGCCCCUAGCAACAGUGGGCCUUUUCAUGCAAGCAUGAAAGAGACACUGCUAAUAUGAGUAAUAAGAGGAAUGCUCCUCUCCCUGACACCCGUGUACACCAGAACGAACCCCCACUGUAAAUUAACGCCCCCAACCUCAGAGGGAAUUGAGAAAAACCAAUAAACCAGAAAACCUCCCAAAAAUCUAGCGUUGACCCUACACAGGUGUGUCCCGGGAAAGACUAAAAGAAAAAGAAGGAACUCGGCAAACACUGGCCUCGCCUGUUUACCAAAAACAUCGCCUCUUGCAUAAUUUAUGAGUAUAAGAGGUCCCGCCUGCCCUGUGACUCACAGUUUAACGGCCGCGGUAUUUUGACCGUGCAAAGGUAGCGUAAUCACUUGUCUUUUAAAUGAAGACCUGUAUGAAUGGCAUAACGAGGGCUAAGCUGUCUCCUUUUUCCAGUCAAUGAAUUUGAUCUCCCCGUGCAGAAGCGAGGAUAGACACAUAAGACGAGAAGACCCUAUGGAGCUUCAGACAAAAGACAGCCCACGUAAAAACACCUCAAUAAAUAGAAAUAACAAAAUGGUGCCUGUCCUCUUGUCUUUGGUUGGGGCGACCACGGGGCAACAAAAAUCCCCCAUGUGGAAUGGGACCUUCCUCCUUAAAACAAGAGCUUCCGCUCUAGCAAACAGAAAAUCUGACCAAUAAGAUCCGGCAAAGCCGAUCAACGGACUGAGUUACCCUAGGGAUAACAGCGCAAUCCCCUUUUAGAGCCCAUAUCGACAAGGGGGUUUACGACCUCGAUGUUGGAUCAGGACACCCUAAUGGUGCAGCCGCUAUUAAGGGUUCGUUUGUUCAACGAUUAAAGUCCUACGUGAUCUGAGUUCAGACCGGAGAAAUCCAGGUCAGUUUCUAUCUAUGAGUGCUCUUUUCUAGUACGAAAGGACCGAAAAGAAGAGGCCCAUGCUAUAACUAAGCCUCGCCCCUACCUGCUGAAGACAACUAAAGCAGGUAAAAGGGCACAGCACUCUGCCUGAGAAAAAGGCAU
This 1675-nucleotide ribosomal RNA is filed under the name Hemigobius hoevenii. RNAcentral's name for it is "16S ribosomal RNA". It matches the Rfam family "Bacterial large subunit ribosomal RNA". Lineage: Eukaryota; Metazoa; Chordata; Actinopteri; Gobiiformes; Gobiidae. The record is from RNAcentral.